AUGAACGCUGGCGGCGUGCCUAAUACAUGCAAGUCGAGCGAACGGACGAGAAGCUUGCUUCUCUGAUGUUAGCGGCGGACGGGUGAGUAACACGUGGAUAACCUACCUAUAAGACUGGGAUAACUUCGGGAAACCGGAGCUAAUACCGGAUAAUAUUUUGAACCGCAUGGUUCAAAAGUGAAAGACGGUCUUGCUGUCACUUAUAGAUGGAUCCGCGCUGCAUUAGAUAGUUGGUAAGGUAACGGCUUACCAAGGCAACGAUGCAUAGCCGACCUGAGGGGGUGAUCCGCCACACGGGAACUGAGACACGGUGCAGACCCCGACGGGAGGCAGCAAUAGGGAAUCUUCCGCAGGAGGCGAAAGCCUGACGGAGAAACGCCGCGAGAGUGAAGAAGGUCUUCGGAUCGUAAAACUCUUUUAUUAGGGAAGAACAUAUGUGUAAGUAACUGUGCACAUCUUGACGGUACCUAAGCAGAAAGCCACGGCUACCUACGU
This 495-nucleotide ribosomal RNA is filed under the name uncultured bacterium. Its description in RNAcentral is "partial 16S ribosomal RNA". It matches the Rfam family "Bacterial small subunit ribosomal RNA", at positions 29 to 506 of the family's 1533-position model. The record is from RNAcentral.